RNAcentral lists this ribosomal RNA (933 nucleotides) under Lepidopteryx sp. NLG-2013. RNAcentral's name for it is "partial 16S ribosomal RNA". Lineage: Eukaryota; Metazoa; Arthropoda; Insecta; Coleoptera; Trogossitidae. The record is from RNAcentral.
GAAUUAAUUAAUUUAUUAAUAUUAUUUUUUUUAUUAUUUUUAAUUAAAGUAGCUUUUUUUUAUUAUUUUUUUAGAAAAAAUUUUUUUUAUGAUAGUUUAUUAGUACUGUGAAGGAAUAUUUAUUAAAUAUACAAAAGAAAAUUUGUUAUUGUACCUUGUGCAUCAGGGUUUAUUAAAUAAUUUAUAUUUAUAUUAUUUUUCUCGAACUUAUAAGAGCUAAUCAUUUAUAUAUAUUACUGUAAAAUAAGUACUUAAAAUAUUUGAUUAGAUGUGAAAUGCUAUUCGCUUUUAAUAUAUCUAGUUUCUUAAGAAAAAAGUUUAAUUUUUAAGUUAUUAUUAAAUUUUCUAUAUUUUUAGUUGAUUUUUAAUAUUUUAUUAUUUUUAAUGGGAUAAGCUUUUAAAAAUAUUUUCACAAUUUUAAUUAGUAUUGAUAAAUUUUAGGAUUAUAAUUUUCUAUUGAUAAAAAAAUGUUAUAAUUGAUUAUCAUGUAAAUUUUAUUUUUAUUUAAUUUGAAUGUUUUAUUAAGAUUUUAUAGUUAAUUUUUACUUUAAUUAAUAAUGAUAAAAUUAGUAUAGUUUUAUGUAAAUUAUAAUUUUACUUUAAGGUAAAUUUAAGGAACUCGGCAAAUUAAUUUUCCACCUGUUUAAUAAAACCAUGUCCUUUUGAUUAUAAUUUAAGGUCUAGCCUGCCCACUGAAGUAUUAAAUGGCCGCGGUACUUUGACCGUGCAAAGGUAGCAUAAUCAUUAGUUUUUUAAUUGAAAGCUGGAAUGAAUGGCUGGAUGAGAAAAUAGCUGUCUUAAUUUUAAUUUUUUUGAAUUUUAUUUUUAAGUUAAAAAGCUUAAAUAAUUUUAAAAGACGAGAAGCCCCUAUAGAAUUUUAUAUUUGAUAAAAUAAUAUUUUUAGGUUAAUGGAUAAUUAUUAUUUUUAAAAAU